RNAcentral lists this non-coding RNA (120 nucleotides) under Mycobacterium sp. RNAcentral's name for it is "TPP sequence". It matches the Rfam family "TPP riboswitch aptamer (THI element)". Rfam says of the family: Vitamin B(1) in its active form thiamin pyrophosphate (TPP) is an essential coenzyme that is synthesised by coupling of pyrimidine and thiazole moieties in bacteria. The previously detected thiamin-regulatory element, thi box was extended, resulting in a new, highly conserved RNA secondary structure, the THI element, which is widely distributed in eubacteria and also occurs in some archaea. Lineage: Bacteria; Bacillati; Actinomycetota; Actinomycetes; Mycobacteriales; Mycobacteriaceae. The record is from RNAcentral.
GUAGAAGAGCACGGGAGUCCCGGGUAACCGAAACGAGCGGGGACUGAGAGUGGGCACGCGGCCCUUACCGUCGAACCUGAUCCGGGUCAUGCCGGCGAAGGGAGCAAGGAUGUCAACCGG